Molecule: ribosomal RNA, 218 nt
Filed under: uncultured bacterium
Lineage: Bacteria
Description: partial 16S ribosomal RNA
Rfam family: Bacterial small subunit ribosomal RNA
Source: RNAcentral
UAAUAUAUCGGAACAUGUCCUGUAGCGGGGGAUAACCUAUCGAAAGAUGGACUAAUACCGCAUACGCUCUAUGGAGGAAAGCGGGGGUCGCAAGACCUCGCACUAUAGGAGUGGCCGAUAUCGGAUUAGCUAGUUGGCGGGGUAAAGCCCACCAAGGCGACGAUCCGUAGCUGGUCUGAGAGGAUGAUCAGCCACAUUGGGACUGAGACACGGCCCAA